RNAcentral lists this long non-coding RNA (1251 nucleotides) under Apteryx haastii (Great spotted kiwi). Its description in RNAcentral is "lncRNA (ENSAHAG00000015780.1)". The record is from RNAcentral. Lineage: Eukaryota; Metazoa; Chordata; Aves; Apterygiformes; Apterygidae.
CCGGAGUGCCUCAAGUUCAGCAAACACCCUCAACACACUCUUUAGCCAGUGUGUGAAUACUAACUCCUCAAAAGGAAAAGCGGCCUGGCACUGUUCUAGCAGAUGGUCCAGGAGCCACUGCCCUAGUUCUUCCUGAUGGUGAUACUAUGCCUUUCUAUCUUCCCAUCAACAGGUUAUCACGCYGGCAUCUGUAAGUUGCUGUUGAGAUGUCACCUCUGCUGACCACGACAGAUGCCGUUAAUCUACAAGACCAUCCAGCUUCCCAUGUAAAUACAUGGAUUUGGCUUGCACAACGAUCAGCUAACCUCUCUGCUUUCUGUAUUGCAGGAGGACGAUCAGUGGAUGAUGUCUUAACUACAUGUUACAUAGGUGUACCAGCUCCACUCAUGGUACUACAGAGUUAUAUAUAAAAAAAAAGGUAUUUCUGUUACUCCCAUGAAUUUAUACAAUUUGGGUAUUGUUUCCCAAAAGAUGACACCUUGGACUUACUCUUUUUGUAUAGCUAACAUAUCUAAAGCAUAUAUUUGCUUUCGCUUUUUUUUUUUUUUUUUUUCCAGAAGUGAAAGGAAUGAGGAAGCUCUCAGAGGAAAAGUUCCUUACUCUUUCUGCAGACUUUGCACCUUUGAAUUUCAACCACAGAUAUUCUUCUCUAAGUUUUCACAGAAUCACAGAAUCACAGAAUGGUUGAGGUUKGAAGGGACCUCUGGAGAUCAUCUAGUCCAACUCCCCUGCUCAAGCAGGGUCACCUASAGCACGUUGCACAGGAUCGUGUCCAGACGGGUUUUGAAUAUCUCCAGAGAAGGAGACUCCACAACCUCUCUGGGCAACCUCUUCCAGCGCUCUGUCACCCUCACAGUGAAGAAGUUUUUCCUCAUGUUCAGAUGGAACUGUCUGUGUUUCAGUUUGYGCCCGUUGCCUCUUGUCCUGUCACUGGGCACCACUGAAAAGAGUCUGGCCCCAUCCUCUCUACACCCUCCCUUCAGAUUGAUACACACAUGGAUAAGAUCCCCCCUCAGUCUUGUCUUCUCCAUGCUGAACAGGCCCAGCUCUCUCAGCCUCUCCUCAUGUGAGAGAUGCUCCAGUCCCCUAAUCAUCUUUGUAGCCCUCCACUGGACUCUCUCCAGUAGCUCCAUGUCUCUCUUGUAUUGGGGCCCCCAGUACUGGACUAAGUUUACUUCCAGUARACUUAUCAGUACAUGUAUGCAGAACAUAAUCAUAUUGCUUUCAUGCACACAUGCUCUUUUUAUAUAA